GCACGCAUGGUAGGAGAGCGUUCCGUAAGCCUGCGAAGGUGCCUUGUAAAGGGUGCUGGAGGUAUCGGAAGUGCGAAUGCUGACAUGAGUAGCGAUAAAGGGGGUGAAAGGCCCCCUCGCCGUAAGCCCAAGGUUUCCUACGCAACGUUCAUCGGCGUAGGGUGAGUCGGCCCCUAAGGCGAGGCAGAAAUGCGUAGCUGAUGGGAAGCAGGUCAAUAUUCCUGCACCAUUGUUAGAUGCGAUGGGGGGACGGAUCGCGGAAGGUUGUCCGGGUGUUGGAAGUCCCGGUCGCUGCAUUGGAGAAGGCGCUUAGGCAAAUCCGGGCGCGUAAUUCAAGGGUGUGGCGCGAGCUCCUUAGGGAGCGAAGCAAUUGGAAGUGGUUCCAAGAAAAGCCUCUAAGCUUCAGUCUAACGAUGACCGUACCGCAAACCGACACAGGUGGGCGAGAUGAGUAUUCUAAGGCGCUUGAGAGAACUCGGGAGAAGGAACUCGGCAAAUUGGUACCGUAACUUCGGGAUAAGGUACGCCCUUGUAGCUUGACCAGCCUGCGCUGGAAGGGUGAAGGGGUUGCAAUAAACUGGUGGCUGCGACUGUUUAAUAAAAACACAGCACUCUGCAAACACGAAAGUGGACGUAUAGGGUGUGACGCCUGCCCGGUGCCGGAAGAUUAAAUGAUGGGGUGCAAGCUCUUGAUUGAAGUCCCGGUAAACGGCGGCCGUAACUAUAACGGUCCUAAGGUAGCGAAAUUCCUUGUCGGGUAAGUUCCGACCUGCACGAAUGGCGUAACGAUGGCCACACUGUCUCCUCCCGAGACUCAGCGAAGUUGAAGUGUUUGUGAUGAUGCAAUCUACCCGCGGCUAGACGGAAAGACCCCAUGAACCUUUACUGUAGCUUUGCAUUGGACUUUGAACCGAUCUGUGUAGGAUAGGUGGGAGGCUAUGAAACCGGAACGCUAGUUUCGGUGGAGCCGUCCUUGAAAUACCACCCUGGUUUGUUUGAGGUUCUAACCUUGGCCCGUGAUCCGGGUCGGGGACAGUGCAUGGUAGGCAGUUUGACUGGGGCGGUCUCCUCCCAAAGCGUAACGGAGGAGUACGAAGGUACGCUAGGUACGGUCGGAAAUCGUGCUGAUAGUGCAAUGGCAUAAGCGUGCUUAACUGCGAGACCGACAAGUCGAGCAGGUGCGAAAGCAGGUCAUAGUGAUCCGGUGGUUCUGUAUGGAAGGGCCAUCGCUCAACGGAUAAAAGGUACUCUGGGGAUAACAGGCUGAUACCGCCCAAGAGUUCAUAUCGACGGCGGUGUUUGGCACCUCGAUGUCGGCUCAUCUCAUCCUGGGGCUGUAGCCGGUCCCAAGGGUAUGGCUGUUCGCCAUUUAAAGAGGUACGUGAGCUGGGUUUAAAACGUCGUGAGACAGUUUGGUCCCUAUCUGCCGUGGGCGUUGGAUAUUUGAAGGGGGCUGCUCCUAGUACGAGAGGACCGGAGUGGACGAACCUCUGGUGUACCGGUUGUCACGCCAGUGGCAUCGCCGGGUAGCUAUGUUCGGAAGAGAUAACCGCUGAAAGCAUCUAAGCGGGAAACUCGCCUUAAGAUGAGAUAUCCCUGGGGACUAGAUCCCCUUGAAGGGUCGUUCGAGACCAGGACGUUGAUAGGUCAGGUGUGUAAGCGCAGUAAUGCGUUCAGCUAACUGAUACUAAUUGCCCGUAAGGCUUGAUCCU
This 1712-nucleotide ribosomal RNA is filed under the name Burkholderia cenocepacia. Its description in RNAcentral is "partial 23S ribosomal RNA". It matches the Rfam family "Bacterial large subunit ribosomal RNA", at positions 1219 to 2925 of the family's 2925-position model. The record is from RNAcentral. Lineage: Bacteria; Pseudomonadati; Pseudomonadota; Betaproteobacteria; Burkholderiales; Burkholderiaceae.